RNAcentral lists this ribosomal RNA (460 nucleotides) under uncultured bacterium. RNAcentral describes it as "partial 16S ribosomal RNA". It matches the Rfam family "Bacterial small subunit ribosomal RNA", at positions 338 to 795 of the family's 1533-position model. The record is from RNAcentral.
CCUACGGGAGGCAGCAGUGAGGAAUAUUGGUCAAUGGACGCAAGUCUGAACCAGCCAUGCCGCGUGCAGGAAGACGGCUCUAUGAGUUGUAAACUGCUUUUGUACGAGGGUAAACGCUGAUACGUGUAUCUGUCUGAAAGUAUCGUACGAAUAAGGAUCGGCUAACUCCGUGCCAGCAGCCGCGGUAAUACGGAGGAUUCAAGCGUUAUCCGGAUUUAUUGGGUUUAAAGGGUGCGUAGGCGGUCGGAUAAGUUAGGGGUGAAAUCGCGGGGCUUAACUUCGGAAUUGCCUGUGAUACUGUUAGGCUAGAGAGUAGUUGAGGUAGGCGGAAUGUAUGGUGUAGCGGUGAAAUGCUUAGAGAUCACACAGAACACCGAUUGCGAAGGCAGCUUACCAAGCUACUUCUGACGUUGAGGCACGAAAGCGUGGGGAGCGAACAGGAUUAGAUACCCCGGUAGUC